Small nucleolar RNA from Manis pentadactyla (Chinese pangolin), 74 nucleotides. RefSeq annotates it as small nucleolar RNA SNORD113/SNORD114 family. NCBI's taxonomy places the organism in Eukaryota, Metazoa, Chordata, Mammalia, Pholidota, Manidae. The transcript has a single exon. The record is from RefSeq and is a predicted model, not a curated record.
UGGAUCGAUGAUGACGACUGCCAGCAUAUGGGUCAUGAUGACGAAUAAUGUGUGUCUGGAACUCUGACGUCCAA